GACGAACCGUGCGAACGUUGUUCGGAAUCACUGGGCUUAAAGGGCGCGUAGGCGGGCCGCCAAGUCAGGGGUGAAAUCCUCCGGCUCAACCGGAGAACAGCUUUUGAUACUGGCGGCCUCGAGGGGGGUAGGGGCAUGUGGAACUUCCGGUGGAGCGGUGAAGUGCGUAGAUAUCGGAAGGAACGCCCGUGGCGAAAGCGAGGUCCUGGACGCCUACUGACGCUGAGACGCGAAAGCCAGGGGAGCGAACGGG
Molecule: ribosomal RNA, 253 nt
Filed under: uncultured bacterium
Lineage: Bacteria
Description: partial 16S ribosomal RNA
Rfam family: Bacterial small subunit ribosomal RNA
Source: RNAcentral